CUAUUAGGGGAAAGUGGGGGAAACGCGAACGCUGGGUAAUGCCGAAUUCAAUGGUUCUAAUAUGUUAGAAAGAUAUAUCCUAAUUUUAUUUGCCGCCAUUUCGGAGAUCACGCCACCACUGAUGCCAGUCAAUAACACGGGAGACGCGGACACACGUACUUAAAAAGAUGCCUUGUACUUACAAAAGAAAGACCGAACUGAAGUAUAGUUUAGAAGAUCUCAAAAAGGCUAUAGACGAUGUUAAAACCAAAAACUCUCCCUGCGUAAAGCAGCAGAAACAUAUCAUGUUCCAAAAACCACUAAUUUUGACCAUCUAAUGAAAGAAGUGUUAAUACAGCCAUGGUUGGAUGAAAACCUUUAUUUACAGACGAUCAGGAAACGUAAGAAAUCAAGAAGAAAACGGAAAGAUGGCAAAAAAGGAACCCAAAUAAAAAGACUGAAAUGUAAUGAGAGAACACCUUCAAACAAGAAGUAUGAAAUAUUAUUAAAGAAUUUGAACAAUAUAAAAAAA
Bombyx mori (domestic silkworm) is the source of this 511-nucleotide long non-coding RNA. RefSeq lists it as uncharacterized. The record is from RefSeq and is a predicted model, not a curated record. Lineage: Eukaryota; Metazoa; Arthropoda; Insecta; Lepidoptera; Bombycidae. The transcript has 2 exons.